GGUGGAGCGAGUGAGGAGCUCUGCCAUGGGGAUGCUGUGGGAAGUUGCCUUUCAGCGUUUGCCAAGGUGUAUUCGACCUUACGAACCUAAAAAUGGUACUCUCCAGGGAGACCAAGGAAGAUGUUGCAGCCAGGAGUGGCCAUCAGAUCCUGGAGGAAGCUGUGGCAGAGGUUAACAGAGGAAAAUGGACCAUGUUAUACAGGUGGCUUAACUUACUGUUGUUAUGCAUACAGCUGUGGAGGAAUGUUGCCUUCAUUCCACAAGAAUCCUGGCCAAGGAGAAGAGCUGAGAACUGUUAAAUAUGAGGAGAUGUUUCUCAGUUGACUUCUGAGGACUUACAGCCUUCCCGGGCUCCCAAGAUCCAAGGAUGCCCUCUUACCUUGUCUUUUAUCCUUUCAUGGAAGCAUCUAAAGAAAAACUGGAAACUGCAGUGAUACAUGAACAAUUCACAGGCAACGUGAAACUACCUAUAAACACCAAAUGAAGUCAAAGACCAUUUUACUGUCAUACUGGUGUCAUUUUGUGAAGCAUUUGAAAUUAAAAUACUCUGGACACAUAAAGGAAGCAGAUUUGCAUCUUUCUAGCAAGAAGAGCAGAAGUGGCCAGUCACUGUUGCCAGGACUAUUCUGCCUUUUUCAGAAGAACUUCUCAAGGAGCCCAGGUCCCCAAGGGGGAAAUUUUGACCCUGGUGAAGUCAAGGGAACCUUCAGUCUCUUUCAUUAAGACAAGAGCCAUCCCUCAUCCCAUGAAACUGUGAAAUGUGGAAAGGAAAGGAGAAACUGUUUCCUUGCGUAUUGCCAUGAGGCUAAAGAUAAAUUGAAGGUGGCAUAGAGCAGUGAAAGAGCAACAGCCUUUAGAAGCCCUCUCCAAAAGCAGAGUUAGUGAAAUACUUUCCAAACAUCUGCAGGAACAGUGCUACAUCAGCCUUCCAGCGGCCUGGUUGAAAAGACUGUCCUUUAAUCUAAACCAUACUCCCUGGGAUUUCUUAAU
Molecule: long non-coding RNA, 990 nt
Organism: Serinus canaria (Common canary)
Lineage: Eukaryota; Metazoa; Chordata; Aves; Passeriformes; Fringillidae
Exons: 7
Source: RefSeq, a predicted model, not a curated record